AAGUUAAAAUGACCUUUUUGAGUCGCUCUGAUAGCACGCUCUUGACGCCCGUGGUGUCCAGGUUUCGUUUCUUCAGCUCGGCCUUCAGGUCGAUCACUCUCAGCUCGGACAGUUUGCGGACCUCUGCGCCCUCCAGGACCUCCGUGUCUGCUGAUGGGUCAGCCAUGGUACUGGUUGUAGAAAUGUCGCCUUAGUUAGGAAUAAAUCCUUAUUGCACUCAAUAUACUGAUGCAGCUUCUCGUAUGCGAAAAGGUUGCUAGCACCGUACUGCAAAAUGGAGGCCUAACUUACACGCAUGCGCAGAACACGUGAAAGCAGUGCCUACUGGAAAGCGUUCCUCUUUUAUGGGUUAUAAACAUUAUAAACAGGGAAGUCAGUAAGCUGAGCAGAACAGGAUACGAUUUCUUCGGGCUGCUCAAGAAUCCGAGUGUAGAUGACCAUGAUGUUGGAGAACUCUGCAGCAAAUCCAAGCUGCACCUUCACUCCGCAGUCAAACUGCAGGUAUCGACUCUUUGAUUACCAUGAGCAACAGCCCACUGCAGGUUUCGGACAGAUUGGGAGGCAGAACAGUCAGAGCUCUGUAUCUGGUCGGUGAGGCAACGUCGUUCUGAAAGAUUACUGCGCAGCUCCAGAGCCUGCCUCCCCUUAGUGAUCCUACAAUGACCCAUAUCUGGUGAGAAAUAAAAGACUUAAAUACAAAGCAUCCAUUUAUUAGUGCUUUAACAGUUGGGUCC
Long non-coding RNA from Notolabrus celidotus (New Zealand spotty), 734 nucleotides. RefSeq lists it as uncharacterized. The transcript has 3 exons. The record is from RefSeq and is a predicted model, not a curated record. Lineage: Eukaryota; Metazoa; Chordata; Actinopteri; Labriformes; Labridae.